UUUUUUUUUGAGCAACGUCAAAAUUAAUUCAUAUCAUUCAAUAAUAAAGUGUUCAAACUAGACGGUACAUCAUAGAAAAUAUGGGGGCUAGGUGGGAUAAGGAAGCUCUAGCUAUGUUAUGAGCUACCUUAUUUGCUUGCCUCCUUACAAAACGCACAGAAAAGUUAGCGUGCAAAGACAAAAGUUGUUUACAAUAAAAAAUAAUGUCACCAAGUUCAUUGUGGGGGUUGACACUAGAGUUCACAGCAUCCACCACAAUUUUGCAAUCAGAUUNUUCACAACAUCCACCACAAUUUUGCAAUCAGAUUCGAAGAUAACAGAUUGCAUGCCUCGAGCAAUAGCCAGUUUGAAUGCUUCAAGAAGUCCGGUAGCUUCCGCCUCAGAUGGAGUGACUCUAAGAAACUCAUAAUUAGACAAGCCAAGCAGAAAAUGACCCAUGGAGUCUCUGAAGCAUAAACCAUAGCCCAUGAUAGAGUUAUUGUUAAACAACGCGCAGUCAACAUUACAUUUAACAAAUGUCAGCGGAGGCUUCUCCCACAAUGCAUCAUGUGUUAUUUCUUGCACCGGAUUGUUUGCCUGUUGCAUAUAGGUCCAUU
Molecule: long non-coding RNA, 596 nt
Filed under: Medicago truncatula (barrel medic)
Lineage: Eukaryota; Viridiplantae; Streptophyta; Magnoliopsida; Fabales; Fabaceae
Description: long non-coding RNA (MTRU_LNC007599)
Source: RNAcentral